CAUUACCGAGUUUACAACUCCCAAACCCCUGUGAACAUACCUAUUUGUUGCCUCGGCGGUGCCUGUUCCGACAGCCCGCCAGAGGACCCCAAACCCUGAUUACAUUUAAGAAGUCUUCUGAGUAAACCGAUUAAAUAAAUCAAAACUUUCAACAACGGAUCUCUUGGUUCUGGCAUCGAUGAAGAACGCAGCGAAAUGCGAUAAGUAAUGUGAAUUGCAGAAUUCAGUGAAUCAUCGAAUCUUUGAACGCACAUUGCGCCCGCUAGUAUUCUGGCGGGCAUGCCUGUCCGAGCGUCAUUUCAACCCUCAAGCCCCCGGGCUUGGUGUUGGGGAUCGGCGAGCCUCCGCGCCCGCCGUCCCCUAAAUCUAGUGGCGGUCUCGCUGUAGCUUCCUCUGCGUAGUAGCACACCUCGCACUGGGAAACAGCGCGGCCACGCCGUUAAACCCCCAACUUCUGAACGUUUGACCUCGGAUCAGGUAGGAAUACCCGCUGAACUUAAGCAUAUCAAA
This 510-nucleotide ribosomal RNA is filed under the name Ilyonectria destructans. RNAcentral describes it as "eukaryotic LSU rRNA". The stretch from base 144 to 297 matches the Rfam family "5.8S ribosomal RNA". The record is from RNAcentral. Lineage: Eukaryota; Fungi; Ascomycota; Sordariomycetes; Hypocreales; Nectriaceae.